CGUGUACCACAUCGUCCACUGCGUCUGGAGUUCGCGCAACCAGCUGUCUUUGGCCGGCGCGCUGCUCCGGACCAGAUCGUAAAGCUUCUGCAUCUUCUUGACGUUUUUGGUGGUCGGGUAUCUCGUUCCAUGUCUUAUUAUGGCAGUCAGAUGGAUUUCUCGACACUGUGCGGAUGGAGGCUGUAGAAUGGACGUGUUUACAGCCAGUAUGUCCUCUCUGAGAUAUGUGUUCACUUCCUCAUACCUCCCUUUCGUGUUGAAAUAUUUGGCGAUUGCUGGAAUAUUUAGGUCAUCCUCAAGUCUAACAAAAUUUAGCAAACAGCAGGAGAUGACACAGAAAUAAAAUACAGUAAA
Long non-coding RNA from Acanthochromis polyacanthus (spiny chromis), 354 nucleotides. RefSeq lists it as uncharacterized. Lineage: Eukaryota; Metazoa; Chordata; Actinopteri; Pomacentridae. The transcript is spliced from 2 exons. The record is from RefSeq and is a predicted model, not a curated record.